Molecule: ribosomal RNA, 887 nt
Filed under: Paraphaeosphaeria sporulosa
Lineage: Eukaryota; Fungi; Ascomycota; Dothideomycetes; Pleosporales; Didymosphaeriaceae
Description: LSU rRNA
Rfam family: Eukaryotic large subunit ribosomal RNA
Source: RNAcentral
UAGCAUAUCAAUAAGCGGAGGAAAAGAAACCAACAGGGAUUGCCCUAGUAACGGCGAGUGAAGCGGCAACAGCUCAAAUUUGAAAUCUGGCUCUUUUGGGGGUCCGAGUUGUAAUUUGCAGAGGAUGCUUUGGCAUUGGCGGCGGUCUAAGUUCCUUGGAACAGGACAUCACAGAGGGUGAGAAUCCCGUACGUGGUCGCCUGCCCUUGCCGUGUAAAGCUCCUUCGACGAGUCGAGUUGUUUGGGAAUGCAGCUCUAAAUGGGAGGUAAAUUUCUUCUAAAGCUAAAUACUGGCCAGAGACCGAUAGCGCACAAGUAGAGUGAUCGAAAGAUGAAAAGUACUUUGGAAAGAGAGUCAAAAAGCACGUGAAAUUGUUGAAAGGGAAGCGCUUGCAGCCAGACUUGCCCGCAGUUGCUCACCUAGGCUUUCGCCUGGGGCACUCUUCUGCGGGCAGGCCAGCAUCAGUUUGGGCGGUUGGAUAAAGGCCUCUGUCACGUAUCUCCCUUCGGGGUGACCUUAUAGGGGAGGCGCAAUGCAACCAGCCCGGACUGAGGUCCGCGCAUCUGCUAGGAUGCUGGCGUAAUGGCUGUAAGCGGCCCGUCUUGAAACACGGACCAAGGAGUCUAACAUCUAUGCGAGUGUUUGGGUGUCAAGCCCGAGCGCGCAAUGAAAGUGAACGGAGGUGGGAACCCUUUGGGUGCACCAUCGACCGAUCCUGAUGUCUUCGGAUGGAUUUGAGUAAGAGCAUAGCUGUUGGGACCCGAAAGAUGGUGAACUAUGCUUGAAUAGGGUGAAGCCAGAGGAAACUCUGGUGGAGGCUCGCAGCGGUUCUGACGUGCAAAUCGAUCGUCAAAUUUGGGCAUAGGGGCGAAAGACUAAUCGAACC